This 494-nucleotide ribosomal RNA is filed under the name uncultured bacterium. RNAcentral describes it as "bacterial SSU rRNA". It matches the Rfam family "Bacterial small subunit ribosomal RNA", at positions 28 to 524 of the family's 1533-position model. The record is from RNAcentral.
GAUGAACGCUGGCGGGAGGCCUAACACAUGCAAGCCGAGCGGUAUUGUUUCUUCGGAAAUGAGAGAGCGGCGUACGGGUGCGGAACACGUGUGCAACCUACCUUUAUCUGGAGGAUAGCCUUUCGAAAGGAAGAUUAAUACUCCAUAAUAUAUUGAUUGGCAUCAGUUGAUAUUGAAAGCUCCGGCGGAUAAAGAUGGGCACGCGCAAGAUUAGCUAGUUGGUGAGGUAACGGCUCACCAAGGCGAUGAUCUUUAGGGGGCCUGAGAGGUGAUCCCCACACUGGUACUGAGACACGGACCAGACUCCUACGGGAGGCAGCAGUGAGGAAUAUUGGUCAAUGGGUGCAAGCCUGAACCAGCCAUCCCGCGUGAAGGACGACUGCCCUAUGGGUUGUAAACUUCUUUUGUAUAGGGAUAAACCUACUCUCGUGAGAGUAGCUGAAGGUACUAUACGAAUAAGCACCGGCUAACUCCGUGCCAGCAGCCGCGGUAAU